AACUUCGGUUCUCUGGCUGGCGACCGGCGGACGGGUGCGUAACACGUAGCUACUUGCCCCACAGUGGGGGAUAACCCGGGGAAACCCGGGCUAAUACCGCAUACACCCGAGAGGGGAAAGCCGUAAGGCGCUGUGGGAUAGGGCUGCGGCGUAUCAGGUAGUUGGUGGGGUAACGGCCUACCAAGCCGAUGACGCGUAGCUGGUCUGAGAGGAUGAUCAGCCACACUGGAACUGAGACACGGUCCAGACUCCUACGGGAGGCAGCAGUGGGGAAUCUUGGGCAAUGGGGGAAACCCUGACCCAGCAACGCCGCGUGGAGGAAGACGCCCUUCGGGGUGUAAACUCCUUUUGCAGGGGAAGAGAGAGACGGUACCCUGCGAAUAAGCUCCGGCUAACUCCGUGCCAGCAGCCGCGGUAAUACGGGGGGAGCGAGCGUUACUCGGAAUCACUGGGCGUAAAGGGUGCGUAGGCGGCUUAGUAAGUUGGGAGUGAAAUCCCACGGCUCAACCGUGGAACUGCUUCCAAAACUGCCAAGCUAGAGUCCGGGAGAGGCCGAGGGAAUUCCUGGUGUA
RNAcentral lists this ribosomal RNA (572 nucleotides) under uncultured bacterium. RNAcentral describes it as "bacterial SSU rRNA". It matches the Rfam family "Bacterial small subunit ribosomal RNA", at positions 76 to 677 of the family's 1533-position model. The record is from RNAcentral.